CACGAGAGUUUGCAACACCCGAAGUCGGUGAGGCAACCGCAAGGAGCCAGCCGCCGAAGGUGGGGCAGAUAAUUGGGGUGAAGUCGUAACAAGGUAUCCCUACCGGAAGGUGGGGAUGGAUCACCUCCUUUCUACGGAG
This 139-nucleotide ribosomal RNA is filed under the name Paenactinomyces guangxiensis. Its description in RNAcentral is "partial 16S ribosomal RNA". It matches the Rfam family "Bacterial small subunit ribosomal RNA", at positions 1403 to 1533 of the family's 1533-position model. The record is from RNAcentral. Lineage: Bacteria; Bacillati; Bacillota; Bacilli; Caryophanales; Thermoactinomycetaceae.